Aegilops tauschii subsp. strangulata is the source of this 921-nucleotide non-coding RNA. The record is from RefSeq and is a predicted model, not a curated record. NCBI's taxonomy places the organism in Eukaryota, Viridiplantae, Streptophyta, Magnoliopsida, Poales, Poaceae.
UUGUCUUUUUAUUAAGCAAACUACGCUUGGGGGUUAGCCACCCGAAUUCAUUCGUUUCUAUUAAAUGAAAUUUAUUUAUUUUAUCUAUUAUUAUGCAGGAGAUGAUGAUAUCCAAGAUGCAUGAUAUGCUUUUGCCAGUGUUCUCUCUGUUCAAGUUUCAUUUGGAUGCUCCACGUAUCCACAGCUCCUCACCGCUGUCUUGUCCACCUCAUUGUGGAAUGUCGUAGUAAUUCUCAAAAGUUUGCACGGCAAGUAGCAUAUGAAGUAUCAAUGCUAAAGCAGAUUUCAAUAUUUUAUCAACAGUUACGUGGCAUGGAAAUAGUUUCUUGUUGACUUCUUUCCUUUGAUUACUAUUCAUUGUGUACAGUUAAGUGGCAUGGAACUGAAACCAUACUUUGUUGUUGACUUGUUUCAUUGUGGACAGAUUUUCCUUGUUAAGUUGAGAUAUUAGCAUCUUACUAGAUCUUGAUUACUAUUCAUGUUAUGCUGUCUUUGGAUUUAUCUUAGCUCAGCAGGACAAAGUCAUGAAGGGUUCAUCCUUACACUAGUUUGAUGCCAGCUGCCUACAUUUACCAAUAUUUUUUAAUAUGGUUUAAGUUCAUGCAUAUCUGAUUUUAUGAGUUUCAGUAGGCGUCAUCAAGUCAUGGGCUGUGGCUUCAAUCCCCGGAUUUUUUGUUUGCAUGUGCUGUGCUGCUAUGAAACAUUGUUUGGCAAACAAUGUUUUGGGAAUUUCUUCCCGUAUCCAGCACGUUUCCCACCCGCAGAUGCUGCCUCCAUGCUUUUCAUUGCCGACACUGCAAUAUCUGGUAUAUGUGUUGCACUUGCCCUCUGUAUCGCUGUGCCAAGAGCUAGCAAGAACCGUUUCUUUAAUUACGCAUUUUUGCGAUACACUGUAAUUAUCAUCAUACUGAACUGGUUUCA